This is a non-coding RNA of Momordica charantia (bitter melon), 470 nucleotides long. The record is from RefSeq and is a predicted model, not a curated record. NCBI's taxonomy places the organism in Eukaryota, Viridiplantae, Streptophyta, Magnoliopsida, Cucurbitales, Cucurbitaceae.
GGGCGGAGACGGAGACGAGGGAGGGCAAGGAUGGCAAAUAUGUUGGGUCUAGACGGUGGAUCAGCUUCAGGAAGAAUAAGGAGAUUCCGAAGGCGGCGGGCGGUGGCGACGGCGGCGGCCGUGAUGUCAGGAGGGGCGACGGAGGCACAAGGGUGAAGAUCACGAGGUUUAGGAGUAGAAGAAGCCUUUUUGGAACCUCGACUUCAAAAUCGCACUUCAUUGCGAGCAUUUAUGGAAGCUUGAAGCAAGUGAUUCCAUGGAGACGCAAGCAAGACGAUAUGAGAAAAGUAUCAGAAUGAUCAUAUAAAAGCAAAAUAGGAAUCUUAACCAUCGAAAUAUAAAUAAUAAUAUAAUUACAAACUUUUUCAAAUAUGUUAUUAUAGUUACCUCUCCUUGUUUGUUCUGUUUGUUUACUGGUAUAGGCUCCUGUGUAAAUAUCCUGGCUAAUAUAAUUAUACUGCUUAUUCUGA